RNAcentral lists this ribosomal RNA (447 nucleotides) under Pseudoalteromonas sp. Its description in RNAcentral is "bacterial SSU rRNA". It matches the Rfam family "Bacterial small subunit ribosomal RNA", at positions 46 to 492 of the family's 1533-position model. Lineage: Bacteria; Pseudomonadati; Pseudomonadota; Gammaproteobacteria; Alteromonadales; Pseudoalteromonadaceae. The record is from RNAcentral.
GCCUAUAUGCAGUCGAGCGGUAACAGANAGUAGCUUGCUACUUUGCUGACGAGCGGCGGACGGGUGAGUAAUGCUUGGGAACAUGCCUUGAGGUGGGGGACAACAGUUGGAAACGACUGCUAAUACCGCAUAAUGUCUACGGACCAAAGGGGGCUUCGGCUCUCGCCUUUAGAUUGGCCCAAGUGGGAUUAGCUAGUUGGUGAGGUAAUGGCUCACCAAGGCGACGAUCCCUAGCUGGUUUGAGAGGAUGAUCAGCCACACUGGGACUGAGACACGGCCCAGACUCCUACGGGAGGCAGCAGUGGGGAAUAUUGCACAAUGGGCGCAAGCCUGAUGCAGCCAUGCCGCGUGUGUGAAGAAGGCCUUCNGGUUGUAAAGCACUUUCAGUCANGAGGAAAGGUUAACGGUUAAUACCCGUUAGCUGUGACGUUACNGACACAAGAAGCA